This 220-nucleotide non-coding RNA is filed under the name Rhizobium etli. Lineage: Bacteria; Pseudomonadati; Pseudomonadota; Alphaproteobacteria; Hyphomicrobiales; Rhizobiaceae. The record is from RNAcentral.
GGAAUAACGGAUGGUUCCGGAUCGGCAUUUCGCUUUCCGGAUGAAAAGGGAAUGUGACGGGGUGGACCCACACCGGGCGCCUUCAUCACAGCCGACCCCGCGACUGUAGGGCGGUAAGGGUCUUCCAUCCGGCAUCGAACCCCUUCCGGCCUAGCCGCAAUCGUGCGGGCGGACAGGAUGGGCGACGUGCCGGAAAAGCCACUGGAAAUGCAUGGUGAUC